Xiphophorus hellerii (green swordtail) is the source of this 392-nucleotide long non-coding RNA. RefSeq lists it as uncharacterized. NCBI's taxonomy places the organism in Eukaryota, Metazoa, Chordata, Actinopteri, Cyprinodontiformes, Poeciliidae. The transcript is spliced from 3 exons. The record is from RefSeq and is a predicted model, not a curated record.
CAAUCAGAGGUGCUUUUCUGUCUGCAUCUGGUGCAGAGUGGGAAAGGUGUACUCAACAGAGUAGCAUCAGAGGACACAGGACAGGAGCUUCUGAAAACAAUGGCGGACAACCAGCAUCAUGAAGACCAAGUAGCACGACAGACAGGGAACAUCUGCAAACCAGCCAACCAAGGCAUGACGAUCAGCAUAAAGUGAAAAGCCAGCCAAUGAGAAAUUGACCCAGAGGAGAAGCCAAGAGGACUGUGGUAACUCCUGAGGAGCUGCAGAGAUCCACAGCUCAGGUCCCUCUGAUGGCUCGCUGGUCGUGGCGUCUUCUGUCUGCGCAGAGGUGGUCUCUGAGCCUGUGUUGCUGUCGCUGGUUCCCUCCUCCAUGGCUCCCUCAGGGACGCUCU